UAUGACCAUGUCACAUUGAAACACCAGUUCCUGUAUAAUCAGCAAAGUUAAGCAACAUUGAGCCUAGUCAGUACCUAGAUGGAUGACUGCUUGGGAAUACCAGGUGCUGUAAG
Acanthosepion pharaonis is the source of this 113-nucleotide non-coding RNA. The record is from the annotation of a GenBank genome assembly. Lineage: Eukaryota; Metazoa; Mollusca; Cephalopoda; Sepiida; Sepiidae.